GGUUUAAUUCGAAGCAACGCGAAGAACUUACCAGGUCUUGACAUCCCGAUGCUAUUUCUUAGAGAUGAAAGUUACUUCGGUACAUCGGUGACAGGUGGUGCAUGGUUGUCGUCAGCUCGUGUCGUGAGAUGUUGGGUUAAGUCCCGCAACGAGCGCAACCCCUAUUGUUAGUUGCCAUCAUUCAGUUGGGCACUCUAGCGAGACUGCCGGUAAUAAACCGGAGGAAGGUGGGGAUGACGUCAAAUCAUCAUGCCCCUUAUGACCUGGGCUACACACGUGCUACAAUGGUUGGUACAACGAGUUGCGAGUCGGUGACGGCGAGCUAAUCUCUUAAAGCCAAUCUCAGUUCGGAUUGUAGGCUGCAACUCGCCUACAUGAAGUCGGAAUCGCUAGUAAUCGCGGAUCAGCACGCCGCGGUGAAUACGUUCCCGGGCCUU
RNAcentral lists this ribosomal RNA (437 nucleotides) under uncultured Streptococcus sp. RNAcentral describes it as "bacterial SSU rRNA". It matches the Rfam family "Bacterial small subunit ribosomal RNA", at positions 943 to 1382 of the family's 1533-position model. The record is from RNAcentral. Lineage: Bacteria; Bacillati; Bacillota; Bacilli; Lactobacillales; Streptococcaceae.